UUCAGGCCGGUGAUAGUUGACGAAACCAUAACCCAAACUCUGACCUGCAAGCAGAGACGCAGAUCCGAUAAACGUCACGAUGUCAGAUUUAUCUUAAAAUAAAAAAAAAAUAGAUCGAUCGUGAGCCACAUCGUAGUAUGCAGCUUGCGAUAAAGAAGUGGCCAAUAUACGUCUCAUCGCUGACAUUUUGGAUAAUCGCAUCGAAAUGGUGAUUGAACCGUGCAAUGCCAACUUUAAUUUCCCCCCAUACGCUCUGGAAUCAAUUUUAUGAAUGGCGUAGUGACAAAUAUAUCAACGAGUAGCUGGCGAAAUGCCUGCAGCAGCGAGACCGCACAAGGACAUAGUUGAAUUAUUUUUCAACUUUACCGAGAAAAUGAUAUCAGACUUUCGUGACUUUCGAACGUCUUAACGCUAAAACAGCAGAAGUGAAUUUCAUGAGAUCAAGGAUCAUUUUAAUCAAUUGUCAAUUUUCGAAAAAAUUAAAACCUCAAUUAAAUCUA
Long non-coding RNA from Wasmannia auropunctata (little fire ant), 500 nucleotides. RefSeq lists it as uncharacterized. NCBI's taxonomy places the organism in Eukaryota, Metazoa, Arthropoda, Insecta, Hymenoptera, Formicidae. The record is from RefSeq and is a predicted model, not a curated record. The transcript has 2 exons.